UUUGGUAGCGCUUAUGAAGACUGGCGCGCCGUGGAAAUUUUCGUUCCCUGCUGCACAAUUUCGGGUUCUUUUCGCAUCUCUUUCUUUUCUCUUCAGAACGAACCUCCGGCUACACUCCUUUUCUCCCGGCGGCGAACCCCGACUACAUUCCGUGGAAACGGAGAGGAAAAGGAGAGUAACAGGGUUUCCGUGCGGUUGUUUUACGUCGGGAGUGGAGAGGUACGAAGAGAGCGUUCUAUUCAGUCAAACUAGGGUUUUACGUUGGAGUGCUUCUGGGUCUACGACGGGUGUUGGGGAAGUUUGGGUGCUUGGUUGAAGUUUCCGCUCAUUCAGUGAUUUGGUCCGCCGCAGGUGCACUUCAAAGAUAGCACUGCUCACUUUUUGGAGGUUCUGUCUCACUGGGCAAGCAUCUUCAGCACAUUUGUACCCUGGUUUUGACAUCGUUUUCUGAAGUGUGAAGAAAUUGCUCAGGUGCCUUAGUUCUUUGGAAAUUUUUUACUUCCAACUGCUUGCAAUAUGGUAAUAAGUUUUUGUAGUCUGAAAUUGUGUUGGUGGAUAUGAUAGAUCUCUCUUAUGGUUUACAAGUUGACUAACCAUACAUGAACAAGUAGUGAGGUUCAUCUUAAGCAGUGCAGCUUACAUGUCAAUUUUGUGAUUAUUGCAAAAUGGACUGCAAUAAAGAGGAAGCUACCAGAGCAAAGGAAAUUGCUGAAAGCAAGAUGCUCGGCAGGGAUUUUGUGGUUGCAAAAAAACUUCUGCUUAAAGCUUUGCAACUUUACCCAGAAAUUGAGAAUGCAUCUCACAUGCUUACUGUUUGUGAGGUCCAUUGCUCUGCUGGAAACUUAGUAAAUGGUCAGACAGACCAUUAUGGAGUUCUUCAGGUAGAGGCAUCAGCUGACGAAGCAUUGAUCAAGAAGCAAUACCGCAGGCUCGCUCUUCUGCUUCAUCCGGACAAGAACAAAUUUGCCGGUGCAGAAGCUGCCUUUAAGUUUGUUGGCGAAGCAUAUAAGGUAUUGUCCAAUCAAGCUGACCGCCAAGUUUAUGAUGCAAAGAGAAGAGUACAAAUGAGGGCUUCAUGGCAUUCCUCUCAGAAUUCUAGAAAUGCUAGAAGGUAUACAGCUGCUACAGUUAAUGUUUCAAAUAGUCAAUUUAGUGGACUAAGACCUCAGGAUCAGCAGCUACCAUCUAUGUUCUAUGCUUCACAAUGUUUUUGGACCAUGUGUGUUUUCUGUAAUAACAGAUUCCAAUAUGCUCGCCCUUGGUUGAAUAGAGAGGUCCAAUGUCACAAAUGCUUCAAGAAAUUUUAUGCAUUUGAAGUGAGUCCUGAAAACAUUCCACCUCCUGGUUCAAGUUCUGGGUUCACACGGAGCCACACUGGUACACAUGAGAUGCCUGUUCCAGGUCAGCGCUCUUAUAAUCAUGGGAGCCAAACUCGUGCAUCACAACCUGCAAAACCUGCUGCUACCAAACCUCAACAUGGAUCUGGAAACAAGGAAGAAAGGCCUGAGCCUUGCGGGGAUGGUAUGGAUAGUAAUCAGCAGAAGUCUGAAAAUUCUAAACCGGAGAAUAAGCCAUCAGGUAAUGCUCGCCGGAUGAGGAGGAAUAGGAGGGUUGUAGUAAACUCUACUGACUCAGAAUCUGCUGAAAGUGAUUCUACUGAAAAUAAUUCCGCGGAUAGUAUUUCAGAGGUAGAACCAACUGUGCUUGAUGGUGGACCAACAAACAGCAGGUAUCCAAGAAGGUCAACACGGUCUAAAACAAAUGUCACUUAUAGAGAAGCCGAAAGCGAAGAUGAGGAUUCUGUGCCCCCUCGUAAAAGAAUAAGAAAAGUUGGUUCAUUUGGCAGUAAAAACCAGGACAUCUCAUCUCCUGUAGUACCGAAUGGUGUGAAGGUGAAAAAAAGUGAGAUUCCUAUUUCUGAAGAUGGGAUUAAGCCGGAGCAGAAAGACGAGAAUCCUUGUAAAGAUAAUUUACAAAGGGUGAGUGUUCAAGAUAGAGUAAUGGAGGAAACAGUUCAUAAGAAAGAUGAAAAACAAGUUAAAAAAAGUUCAAAUUCAACUUCUGCUGUUCCGUCAAGAUCCAGAAAGCAGCAAGCUUCUUCUUCCUUCUCUUACCCCGACCCAGAAUUUUUUGACUUCGAUGAAGAGAGGAAUAAAAGUAGAUUUGCUGAGAAUCAGGUUUGGGCUGUUUAUGAUGAUGACGACGGAAUGCCUCGGUAUUAUGCUCUGAUUCAGAAACCUUUUGUUUCAAGCUUCAGGCUGCAGUACAUCUGGUUAGAGAACAAUCCAACGAGUGCAGCAGAGAAAGCUUGGGUUGCAGCUGGACUUCCAAUUUCUUGUGGUAAUUUUACUCAAGGAAAGGCCUGUAGUACAAAAAGCCAACAAAUGUUCUCACAUCUUGUUUUUUCAGAGGAUAUUAGAAAAGAUAGUUACAGUUUCUACCCAAAGAAGGGGGAGGUUUGGGCCCUUUUCAAAGACUGGGAUAUAGGAUGGAGCUCUGCUGUAAACAAGUCCAGAAAUUAUGAAUAUGAAAUUGUUCAAGUUGUUUCAGAUUUUUCAUAUGGCAAAGACAUCACUGUCUGCAAUUUGUUCAAAGUGAAAGGAUUUCUAUACGUGUUUGCGCCGGUUCAUGAUAAACAAAACACCGUGAUACCAGGCGGGCAAUUGCUCAAAUUCUCUCAUUGUAUACCUCAUUACAGUCUCCGCGAAGAAGGAGAAGGAAUUCCAAGAGAUUCUUUUGAGCUCGAUCCAGCUGCUUUACCGGAGAGCCUGCUGAAGGUCACAGACACGGUUAGUGCUAAUUCUGUUGAUGAUAAACUCGCAGGCUGUGCAGUUAAUAGUAGGAUCAGAGGCCAUUUUAGUGUUAAUUCCGAAGAUAUACUCCAUAAAUCAGAUGACGCAACAGAACAGCACCCUGUGGAUCCAGAGAAACCUUGCAAUCCUGACAGGAGAAAUGAAACUACAGGUUCUUGUAGCUUAGGUGUAGAAAGUAAUGAAGAUGAUGAAGAAGACUCCAGCUUUAAUGGAGAAGAGCGAAAAAAUUCAGAAUUUCAUAAUCUGAGAUCAGAGGACAAGUUUGCGAAAGGUCAGAUUUGGGCACUUUAUAGUGAAAUAGUUGAGUUUCCUAACUACUAUGCUUGGAUAAAAAAAGUUGAAUGGGAAGAGGCCGGCUUUGUUAUUAUUAAGUGGCUUGAACACUCACCAGAGACACAAUACGAGAAAUUGUGGUCAAAAAAUGGCCUUCCUUUCGGCUGCGGAACAUUCAAAGUUUCGUUGGGCACCGAACGGUUCUAUACGACCGAUGCGUUCUCUCAUGUGGUUCACGCGAAAUCGAUCAAGAAAAACGAUUUGUAUGAGAUAUAUCCAAGCAGUGGUGAGGUUUGGGCUUUAUAUAAGAAUUGGAGCCUUAUGUUGACUUCCAAAGAUAUAGGAAAUGCUGCUGAUUACUCGCUUGUGGAGAUCAUCCAACGGAAUGAAUCUGUAAUAAGAGCAGCGAGCUUGACUAAAGUCGAAGGUUACGAGAAUUUUUUUACUGCUGAAACCGGCGGCUUGGCCGAUGUCAAGAUACCGAUAAAAGAAUGGCUGAGAUUCUCUCAUCUGAUACCGGCAUUUCGACGAACUAUCAAGGAAUCUGGGAAGCAGAAGGAGUGUUGGGAGCUCGAUCCCGACUCAAUUCCAAAGAUAUUGUUGAGUUAGGAACCCCUCUUGAGUUUUAUUUUACACUGUGCACUACUCACUAGCAGGGAAGAGGCGCAGGGCUGGAGAAUGAAGAAGAUGACCAGGGUGACAAGCUUUCUGGCACCUUCUGCACCAGUUUUGAAUCUGGAAGCAGCUGCCUGGCCUUUUUGCCUUGAUAUUAUGAUGCAGCUUUCAGAUUUAACAAAAUGUUGAAAUUAAGAGCUAUUAGUCAUCUAUGUAGCUUUCUUUUUCCUUUUUGGGGGAGGUUUGAUGAUUUGGCACUCAUGCCUUCCAAGUAUUUUCCAUGUAUAUUAUUAUUAAAUACUCCAAACAUAACUCUCUACUGCUCCUUUGCUUUUUUUUUUUAAGA
Molecule: RNA transcript, 4047 nt
Organism: Phalaenopsis equestris
Lineage: Eukaryota; Viridiplantae; Streptophyta; Magnoliopsida; Asparagales; Orchidaceae
Exons: 4
Source: RefSeq, a predicted model, not a curated record